ACGGGUGAGUAAUACAUCGGAACGUGCCCAGUCGUGGGGGAUAACUACUCGAAAGAGUAGCUAAUACCGCAUACGAUCUGAGGAUGAAAGCGGGGGACCUUCGGGCCUCGCGCGAUUGGAGCGGCCGAUGGCAGAUUAGGUAGUUGGUGGGAUAAAAGCUUACCAAGCCGACGAUCUGUAGCCGGUCUGAGAGGACGACCAGCCACACUGGGACUGAGACACGGCCCAGACUCCUACGGGAGGCAGCAGUGGGGAAUUUUGGACAAUGGGCGAAAGCCUGAUCCAGCAAUGCCGCGUGCAGGAUGAAGGCCUUCGGGUUGUAAACUGCUUUUGUACGGAACGAAAAAGCUUCUCCUAAUACGAGAGGCCCAUGACGGUACCGUAAGAAUAAGCACCGGCUAACUACGUGCCAGCAGCCGCGGUAAUACGUAGGGUGCAAGCGUUAAUCGGAAUUACUGGGCGUAAAGCGUGCGCAGGCGGUUAUGUAAGACAGAUGUGAAAUCCCCGGGCUCAACCUGGGAACUGCAUUUGUGACUGCAUGGCUAGAGUACGGUAGAGGGGGAUGGAAUUCCGCGUGUAGCAGUGAAAU
Molecule: ribosomal RNA, 589 nt
Filed under: uncultured bacterium
Lineage: Bacteria
Description: bacterial SSU rRNA
Rfam family: Bacterial small subunit ribosomal RNA
Source: RNAcentral